This 72-nucleotide transfer RNA is filed under the name Methanobacteriota archaeon. RNAcentral describes it as "Euryarchaeota archaeon tRNA-Gly". It matches the Rfam family "tRNA". From Rfam's summary of the family: Transfer RNA (tRNA) molecules are approximately 80 nucleotides in length. The record is from RNAcentral. Lineage: Archaea; Methanobacteriati; Methanobacteriota.
GCGGACGUAGUGUAGCGGUUAUCACCGUGGGUUGCCAAUCCAUGAACCCGGGUUCAAAUCCCGGCGUCCGCA